AGAGUUUGAUCCUGGCUCAGAGCGAACGCUGGCGGCAGGCUUAACACAUGCAAGUCGAGCGGGCGUAGCAAUACGUCAGCGGCAGACGGGUGAGUAACGCGUGGGAACGUACCUUUUGGUUCGGACCAACACAGGGAAGCUUGUGCUAAUACCGGAUAAGCCCUUACGGGGAAAGAUUUAACGCCGAAAGAUCGGCCCCCGUCUGAUAAGCUAGAUGGUAGGGUAACGGCCUACCAAGCCGACGAUCAGUAGCUGGUAUGAGAGGAUGAUCAGCCACAUUGGGACUGAGACACGGCCCUAACUCCAACGGGAGCCAGCAGUGCGGAUUAUUGGACAAUGGGGGCAACCCUGAUCCAGCCAUGCCGCGUGAGUGAUGAAGGCCCUAGAGUUGUAAAGCACUUUUGUGCGGGAAGAUAAUGAGGGUACCGCAAGAAUAAGCGCCGGCUAACUCCGUGCCAGCAGCCGCGGUAAUACGAAGGGGGCUAGCAUUGCUCGGAAUCACUGGGCGUAAACGGUGCGUAGGCGGGUCUUUAAGUCAGGGGUGAAAUCCUGGAGCUCAACCCCAGAACUGCCUUUGAUACU
Molecule: ribosomal RNA, 582 nt
Filed under: uncultured bacterium
Lineage: Bacteria
Description: bacterial SSU rRNA
Rfam family: Bacterial small subunit ribosomal RNA
Source: RNAcentral